This is a non-coding RNA of Ilex paraguariensis (yerba mate), 79 nucleotides long. Lineage: Eukaryota; Viridiplantae; Streptophyta; Magnoliopsida; Aquifoliales; Aquifoliaceae. The record is from the annotation of a GenBank genome assembly.
GGAUGAGACCAGUAACUUAGAGGAUUAGAGUAUGUGGUUACAAAUCACGGUGUCGGGGGUUUGAAACCCUCCUCGCCCA